AGCAACAAAACAAUGUGCGCCGACUUCACGUAUAAUACGUCAGUCUUUCGCUGUUGCAUAGCCCAAAAAGUAACGGAAUCCCCGACGUGCGAGACGCGACCGCUGCGCUUCUCCUUUCCCCUCCGCCGCAGGGCGCACGUUCCUCUCUUAGCGCUUUUCUGAAGGAGCGGGCUGCCAAGGCGUGCGUGUGAUUCCUCACGAAAGAAAGGUCAGAGCACAUUCUAUCCACAGAAAAGAAACAUAAGCACACACACACACACACACACACACACACACACACACACACACACAGGCUUCUAUGCGAGGAAGCCGAACUGCGGAUACAUCAAAGGACAAGGCUGCUUGGUACCAGGGAUGGGCAACAGCUCUAGCCGGGAGUGGUUUGACCCCUACGCGAUCAACACUCCGCUUGCCGGUGUGUGUGCGGUCUCAUGCCUCUUCAACAGCGUGCCAAAUGGCGUGCUGCGAAUAUCGAACGUCUACACCAACGUCACACUGCUUGUACUCCUCGGCUGCUCCACCGGGUUUAGCACCUCGCUGCACAUGCCGCUGCUAGGCGCGCAGGCGGGUCUCACAGCGUCGCUGCUCUUCACCUUGGGCGCGCCAAUGAAGAUUCUCUUCACGAGCCGACUCUUUCCGCGCUCCGUGCAUUACGGGAUUGGUGCAUUUUACACUACCUACCACGCAAUGCAGCUGCAGAAGGAGCUGAACUACUUUGAAGACGCACACGAAGACGGUGAGGAUGAGUUUUUUUAGUUUGCCUGCCCGCUCCGCGACCUAGGCGAAUGCGCAGCUGCCUGUGCUGCUGUGUGAGGGUCUUGAUCGAUGGCUGUGCGUGUGAGUGCGCGUUUCGUGUUUGCUGCGCCACGUGUGUGUGUGUGUUUUCAGAGGCCUUCCAGGCUGCACACGUGAACAGAGCACACUCGAAAAGGGGUGCCCAUCAAGUUGAAUGCCGCAUCGCCGAGGAACAGACACGCACACGUACAGGCACACGUGGGCGCUGGGAUACACGUUUGAACACACAUACAGUGCCAGCAACAACGAUACUACUUCAGGGACUCGUCUUGCCCCCGUGUUUGUGUGAGCAUUGCGACACCCGCUCGUUUCCUCCUUGUCGCCGCUCGCACACACACACACACACACACACACACACAGGCAAGCUCACGCUAUUCAGCUGCACAUGCGGGAAGGAGGCACAUCAUCCUUUUUGCUCGUAUGCGUGUGUGUAGUCUC
Molecule: unclassified non-coding RNA, 1233 nt
Filed under: Leishmania donovani
Lineage: Eukaryota; Euglenozoa; Kinetoplastea; Trypanosomatida; Trypanosomatidae
Description: gene:LdHU3.32.2830(CDS-product:hypothetical_prote in_conserved)
Source: RNAcentral